RNAcentral lists this ribosomal RNA (255 nucleotides) under Triticum aestivum (bread wheat). RNAcentral describes it as "partial small subunit ribosomal RNA". The record is from RNAcentral. Lineage: Eukaryota; Viridiplantae; Streptophyta; Magnoliopsida; Poales; Poaceae.
AAGAGCAGCAGGGUGAUCCUAGUCCAGUCGGUCUUGUCUGCCAUACCGGUGCACUCCAUGCUCGCUAUGGGAUUGCCAGCAAAAACGAUCAAGGCACUAGUGAAAAUCUGCAGAAGCUUCCUAUGGUCUGGGAAAGAGGAUGCGGGUGGAGGAAAGUGCGCGGUAGCAUGGGACAUCCUAUGCCGGCCUAGAUGGGCAGGUGGACUUGGAGUGACUAACCUCAAGUGGAUGAAUAUUGCACUCCAAGCGAAGUAG